AAUGGAAAAAAUGGGAAGAUCUCCCCUUAUAUAAGAGACCGAAUAUAUGUUUAAGGGGCGCUAUGUGUCCCAAUUCUAUUGGUUGAAAUAAUAAAUCAAAAGAGAAAAAAAAACAUUUCCUCCUCGAUUAAUUUCUUUUUCGUGUGAUUCUCUCUCUCUCGGUUGCAAUUUCAUCGACGAGACAAACGAUGAAUUUGGAAUCAGAAGCUUGAAUCAAUUGGAAAUGAUGAAUUUGAUAACAGGAGUCGAUUAAAUCGGUAGACAGAUUGAAUCAAUUGGAAUCAGAAAGGUGGUGAGUUGUUUGAUAGGAUCGUCAAGAGAGGUCAUUACAGUGAGAGAGAAGCUGCUAAGCUUAUCAAGACUAUUGUUCGGGUCGUUGAGGCUUGUCCUCUCUGUUUUCUGCAAACCAGAUGUACUUACUCAGAAUCCUCCACCUUCAAGAUUCUUCCAAGAAGAUCUUAACAGCUGUGUUCAGCCACCCGAAACAUUUCCAUCUCCUUUCAUCAUAUUCUCUAACCAGAAACCUGAACUUCCCCCCUCGUCUCUGUUCAGCUUCCUGUAUCUCCUGAACGGUCAAACCUAGUCUCGAGGUUGCUCAUUGGCCAAGACAUCAUCCCUGAGCGGGUUAUAAUCUUGGUGAAGAAAGCAACAAGUCACUUGGUGAAGUUAGCUUGAUUCUGUCUAUGUUAAUUAUGUAUAUGAAAUGUUUUUUCUACACAUCUUUGAGUUUUGUCUUUGAGUUUGCUUGCAAAAUGAUUUGAUUGAGAAUAUUUGGGCAAAAAUUGGAGCUAAUUAGUAUUAA
This is a long non-coding RNA of Camelina sativa (false flax), 802 nucleotides long. RefSeq lists it as uncharacterized. The record is from RefSeq and is a predicted model, not a curated record. NCBI's taxonomy places the organism in Eukaryota, Viridiplantae, Streptophyta, Magnoliopsida, Brassicales, Brassicaceae.